GCCAGAAAUUAUCAUGUUUAAAUACGAGUGUCUGGGAGCGCUUUAUGCGCUGUGCUUGCAAGAAUGCCAUUUCAUACGUGGUCCUCGAUACUUGUAGGUAUACAGCAAUAUUUUGGUCUCUCUGGAGGCAGACGCAGUGUGCUCUCCUUGGAGCUGAGCUGACAGAAGUGGCUGUUGGUCUGCAGUGCCCGGUGUCCUAGCAACAGCACGGUCUGCCGCAGCCGCCAUGUUGAGGCCUGAGCCAGGCACUGUGGCAUUGCCACCCUCUGCGGUAGCCCUGGCUGCCAUCCAUCGCCUGCAGAGCCUGGAAAAACAUGUGAAAAAUGAAGACUGUGCAUUCAGUGAGGAAAUCGUGCAGCACCUUGAAGACACUAUUGCUGCUAUUGAGAAAUUGCUGUGAACCAGAAGAUGACUUCCUGGUGUAUCUGAAGGCCAGCUGCAGGCUCUGUUCAGCUCUGGGCCAUGAGGAAAUCAGGCUUUUCUGUUGCUAAAGUGACACCCUGUAAAACAAGUUGUUAUUUUGGAGACUGGAAGAAAGGAAGAACAAGGAUGAUAAAAGGAAGAAAUGCGAAGGAAUACCAUUGAAUGCCUAGAAGAAGAGACUAUAAAAAACAGCAAGCUUCGCUUCAGAAUGCACAAUUUUCCAGGAGAGAUUGCUGCAGAGAUGGCAGCUCUUGUUGCUGCGUCACGUGAAUCUGGUGCUGCUAAGAUGAAUCAGCUGCAGUCUGCAUUGAAAAACAUUGCUUAUGAAAUUGAAUUAUUGGAUGAGAAACAAACCCUUUGUGAAAGGCAGAAUGCUGCACUGUGUGAGGAACAAAAGCGCCUGCAGACACAGCAUAAAGAAAAAGUGGACUUGCUGAAUGAAAGGAUGGCAACAAAAAUUAACACAAGUGUGCUCUUACUUGAGACUGAUUGUAAAACAAGAGCUACAGAAAAAGAAAUAAUCAGAGCAAAGACAGAGUUAGAAAAACUACAAGAAAAAAUAGCUGAAAAAAUGAGUCAGCUUGAGAAAGAGAUGGAAGAGUGUGAUGGAAAGGUAAAGGUUUUGAAAUGCCCUGAGAAGUUGUGCCAAAUGCUGUGUUUGGGUUUUUGUUUGCAAGUAAUUUAGGUCCCCACAGCAGCCAAGCACAGAAUUGGCUCUUGUAAAUACAUGUGCUCUGUGUGUGUGUGGGGAGGGGGGGGGUUUUCUUAUGUACACA
Phasianus colchicus (ring-necked pheasant) is the source of this 1199-nucleotide non-coding RNA. The record is from RefSeq and is a predicted model, not a curated record. Lineage: Eukaryota; Metazoa; Chordata; Aves; Galliformes; Phasianidae.